This 349-nucleotide unclassified non-coding RNA is filed under the name plant metagenome. RNAcentral's name for it is "partial contains 5.8S ribosomal RNA, internal transcribed spacer 2, and large subunit ribosomal RNA". The stretch from base 1 to 104 matches the Rfam family "5.8S ribosomal RNA", at positions 51 to 154 of the family's 154-position model. The record is from RNAcentral.
AAAUGCGAUAAGUAAUGUGAAUUGCAGAAUUCAGUGAAUCAUCGAAUCUUUGAACGCACCUUGCGCUCCUUGGUAUUCCGAGGAGCAUGCCUGUUUGAGUGUCAUGGAAUUCUCAACUCUAUUUGCUUUUGUGAAUAGAGCUUGGAUUUGGAGGUUUAUUGCUGGUACUUGUGAUCGGCUCCUCUUGAAUGCAUUAGCUCGAACCUUUGCGGAUCAGCUAUCGGUGUGAUAAUUGUCUACGUCGUUGCAGUGAAGCAUAUCAAUGGGCUCGGCUUCCAAUCGUCCUUUACUGGACAAUGACUUUGACCUUUGACCUCAAAUCAGGUAGGAUUACCCGCUGAACUUAAGC